AGAAUGAACGCUGGCGGCGUGCUUAACACAUGCAAGUCGAGCGAGGCCAGGGGGGCAACUCCCUGAGUCGAGCGGCGGACGGGUGAGUAACACGUGGGUAACCUACCCGGAAGUGGGGAAUACCUCGGGGAAACUCGAGCUAAUACCGCAUGACAUCUCGAGGACGAAAGUUCUUGUGAUCAAAGCGGGGCCGCAAGGCCUCGUGCUACCGGAUGGGCCCGCGCCCGAUUAGCUAGUUGGCGAGGUAAUGGCUCACCAAGGCGACGAUC
RNAcentral lists this ribosomal RNA (269 nucleotides) under uncultured soil bacterium. RNAcentral's name for it is "partial 16S ribosomal RNA". It matches the Rfam family "Bacterial small subunit ribosomal RNA", at positions 26 to 281 of the family's 1533-position model. The record is from RNAcentral.